RNAcentral lists this microRNA precursor (116 nucleotides) under Hordeum vulgare. Its description in RNAcentral is "microRNA MIR1122". It matches the Rfam family "MIR1120/MIR1122 microRNA precursor family". The record is from RNAcentral. Lineage: Eukaryota; Viridiplantae; Streptophyta; Magnoliopsida; Poales; Poaceae.
CAUAUACUCCCUCCGUCCCAAAAUAAGUGACUCAAAAGUGACUUAACUUUGUAUUAAAAUUAAUACAAAGUUAAAUCAUUCUUGAAUCAUUUAUUUUGGGAUGGAGGGAGUAGAAA